This 429-nucleotide ribosomal RNA is filed under the name Acidobacteriota bacterium. RNAcentral describes it as "Acidobacteria bacterium partial 16S ribosomal RNA". It matches the Rfam family "Bacterial small subunit ribosomal RNA", at positions 355 to 776 of the family's 1533-position model. The record is from RNAcentral. Lineage: Bacteria; Pseudomonadati; Acidobacteriota.
UGGGGAAUUUUGGACAAUGGGGGAAACCCUGAUCCAGCCAUCCCGCGUGUUCGAUGAAGGCCUUCGGGUUGUAAAGCACUUUUGGCAGGAAAGAAACGUCAUGGGUUAAUACCCCGUGAAACUGACGGUACCUGCAGAAUAAGCACCGGCUAACUACGUGCCAGCAGCCGCGGUAAUACGUAGGGUGCAAGCGUUAAUCGGAAUUACUGGGCGUAAAGCGUGCGCAGGCGGUUCGGAAAGAAAGAUGUGAAAUCCCAGGGCUCAACUUUGGAACUGCAUUUUUAACUACCGGGCUAGAGUGUGUCAGAGGGAGGUGGAAUUCCGCGUGUAGCAGUGAAAUGCGUAGAUAUGCGGAGGAACACCGAUGGCGAAGGCAGCCUCCUGGGAUAACACUGACGCUCAUGCACGAAAGCGUGGGGAGCAAACAGG